ACACGACCGUACCGCAAACCGACACUGGUGCGCGAGAUGAGUAUUCUAAGGCGCUUGAGAGAACUCAGGAGAAGGAACUCGGCAAAUUGACACCGUAACUUCGGAAGAAGGUGUGCCUUUAGUAGGUGAGGGGAUUUACUCCCGGAGCCCAAUGAGGUUGCAAAAAAUCGGUGGCUGCGACUGUUUAAUAAAAACACAGCACUCUGCAAACACGAAAGUGGACGUAUAGGGUGUGACGCCUGCCCGGUGCUGGAAGAUUAAAUGAUGGGGUGCAAGCUCUUGAUUGAAGUCCCAGUAAACGGCGGCCGUAACAAUAACGGUCCUAAGGUAGCGAAAUUCCUUGUCGGGUAAGUUCCGACCUGCACGAAUGGCGUAACGAUGGCCACACUGUCUCCUCCUGAGACUCAGCGAAGUUGAAAUGUUUGUGAUGAUGCAAUCUCCCCGCGGAAAGACGGAAAGACCCCAUGAACCUUUACUGUAGCUUUGUAUUGGACUUUGAACAGAUCUGUGUAGGAUAGGUGGGAGGCUUUGAAGCAGGGUCGCUAGAUCUUGUGGAGCCAACGUUGAAAUACCACCCUGGUGUGUUUGAGGUUCUAACCUAGGUCCAUUAUCUGGAUCGGGGACAGUGCAUGGUAGGCAGUUUGACUGGGGCGGUCUCCUCCCAAAGCGUAACGGAGGAGUUCGAAGGUACGCUAGGUACGGUCGGACAUCGUGCUAAUAGUGCAAUGGCAUAAGCGUGCUUAACUGCGAGACUGACAAGUCGAGCAGAUGCGAAAGCAGGACAUAGUGAUCCGGUGGUUCUGUAUGGAAGGGCCAUCGCUCAACGGAUAAAAGGUACUCUGGGGAUAACAGGCUGAUACCGCCCAAGAGUUCAUAUCGACGGCGGUGUUUGGCACCUCGAUGUCGGCUCAUCUCAUCCUGGGGCUGUAGCCGGUCCCAAGGGUAUGGCUGUUCGCCAUUUAAAGAGGUACGUGAGCUGGGUUUAAAACGUCGUGAGACAGUUUGGUCCCUAUCUUCCGUGGGCGCUGCAGAUUUGAGGAAGCCUGCUCCUAGUACGAGAGGACCGGAGUGGACACACCUCUGGUGUAUCGGUUGUCACGCCAGUGGCAUUGCCGAGUAGCUAAGUGUGGAAGAGAUAACCGCUGAAAGCAUCUAAGCGGGAAACUCGUUUCAAGAUGAGAUCUGCCGGGGCCUUGAGCCCCCUAAAGAGUCGUUCAAGACCAGGACGUUGAUAGGUCAGGUGUGGAAGCGCAGUAAUGCGUUAAGCUAACUGAUACUAAUUGCUCGUGCGGCUUGAUC
Molecule: ribosomal RNA, 1299 nt
Filed under: metagenome
Description: bacterial LSU rRNA
Rfam family: Bacterial large subunit ribosomal RNA
Source: RNAcentral